Molecule: unclassified non-coding RNA, 2304 nt
Filed under: Hevea brasiliensis (rubber tree)
Lineage: Eukaryota; Viridiplantae; Streptophyta; Magnoliopsida; Malpighiales; Euphorbiaceae
Source: RNAcentral
UGGCUCUUGACACAUAAAACAGAGUAAACUAAGAGAGGGCCAAAAGGAAGAGGGAGUCACCCACAAGCAAAAGAAAGGCAAAAAUUUCCAAUGGAGAAGAAACUGUAUAGGAGGAAAGAUGAGCUGCACCUAAACAAUUAGUGAGAGUUUGGGAUGGGGUUUGGCAAAGCAUAAAGCAAGUGAUGUUGAUGCCCUUAGUAAUGAUCAGAGAGUCACAUGCCCGUGCCAACAUUUAGCAGUCCUUUCUUCUCAUCUUUUUGAGUUAUUUUUCCACAUUAUGUGGUCCGACCUCUCUUAUCUUAUCACAUUCAACCCCCAUCUCUCUUUUCAUCACUAAACUAGGUCACAUCAAACCAUUACUACUCAUGAUUCUUCCUUUUCUCUCAGCCAACUUGGAGGGGUCUCUCCUUCUUUCCCACUUCAAUGAGUUUCCAACUCUAACCACCUUCUCUAACUCCUCUUUUUAAUCCCUCCCUUUAUGUGUAUCUUAUAGUUUGUCACUAGCUCGAUUACACCUUUCUUCCUUGAUAAUUUUUCUUUGUUAUUUCUUGAAUUUCAGACCCUUACCAGAAUUCCUAACAAUGCCACCUGUGCACUCUAGCCCUUACUUCCAAAUGAAUAAUCCAGCUAUAUUGUCUUUGCUCCGGCUAACCGCCGGCGAGAAGCGCUCGAAAUCUAGUUCCGGCGGGCUUCUUAAAAUGUUCAAACUCUUCCCCAUGUUAACCUCGGGUUGCAAGAUGGUUGCACUUCUAGGUAGGCCUCGAAAACCCUUACUUAAAGAUAAUGCUACUACAGGUACCAUUUUCGGUUAUCGCAAAGGGAGAGUAAGUCUAGCCAUACAAGAGGAUCCUCAUUGCGUGCCUAUGUUUGUUAUAGAACUACCCAUCCAUACGAGUGCGUUUCACAAAGAAAUGGCAUCUGAUAUAGUAAGAAUCGCGCUAGAGAGCGAGACCAAGACUCAUAAGAAGAAAGUGCUGGAAGAGUUUGUGUGGGCUGUAUAUUGUAAUGGAAGAAAGAUUGGCUACUCUAUUAGAAGGAAGCAAAUGUCCGAUGAUGAGCUUCAUGUUAUGCAGCUUUUGAGGGGCGUUUCGAUGGGUGCAGGUGUUCUUCCAAGCCCAAAUGACAAGGAAAGUACAGCAGAUGGUGAAUUGACCUACAUAAGAGCAAGGUUUGAGAGAGUUGUGGGUUCCCAGGAUUCCGAAGCUUUGUAUAUGAUUAAUCCAGAUGGUGCACCAGGGCCAGAAUUGAGUAUUUUCUUUGUCAGGGCUCAUUAGAAAUUCUAGGCUCUAUGUCUAAACUUUAAUUUCUUGUUUAUUCGUAACAGGAAACGAGCUGGUGUGAUUUUCAGAUUUCCAGUCCCAUCCCAUGGAUUUUUCAGGGUUGAUCAGUGUUUGCAAUACCUUAAAUUAACACAAUUCCAUGCCAAUUACCUGGAAAUUAUUUUCUUUUCAUAACUGUAACCAGGAUAGUUUGCUGCUGUUACAUUAAAAAGCCAAUUUCACAGGUGAAUUUCUGAAGUAUCAAUAUAAUAUAGCUCGUAAAAUUUCGCACUUGUACAUCUGCAAUUUGCCGUGGGAAAACAGAAACAGAGGAUAACAAGAAAACUCUCUUCCAGGUUGAUUCUUGAAUUUAGUUGUCGAGAGAAUAAGUUUCCCAUUAACUACUUCCACCUUAAAAGACUUUCUGUCUAAACAAACAAAAUUUUGUUCGGUAAAAUGAUAAGAAUUUGCCUAAUUUUACAUAUCCGACAUAUAAGAUUGUGAAAAAGUAUACUCUUUUAAUUUUUCCCUCGCAUAUUUUCUAUCAGGAAAAUUUUACUGAUCCAUCAUGCACGAUGAAGACAAUCUGAGGUGAAACACCGAAAGCAAAAACGCGGGGAACAUUGUGUGGUUUUAAUUGAAUCGGCAAAUCAAAAGAGUUGGCAGCAGCUCAUUCAAUAUCAAAGCUUGGCGUAGGGCAAUGAGCAGAGAUGUGGAAAAUUUUACCCAAAAAUAAAUGAAAUGUCGAAUGCUGUUCCGAGUCUCCAUCGAUCCUUAUCUAGAGAAAUGAAGGUUGUAACAACUCAGCAAGAGGGUCUCCAUCCCAGAGAACAUGAGUGUGGAGUAUGGACCACCAUUUUACUAGAGCAGCUUCUGCUGCGCCCUCUUGAUAGUCACCAACACAAUGUUUGUAUCCAUCAUGUACCUUCAUUCUUACCGUCAUACUCUUUCAUCCACUUUCUAUUUAUUUAUGUUGGAUAUUCCUACACUAGUUUACACAUACCAAAAUUAAAUGGUGAAAUACAAUUUGAUCCCUAAAUAUUAU